UUCCGCUCAAGUUCCUCCGCCGCGACCUCAGGACAGGCCGAAGAGGCGCGCACUACUCACGUGUCUUCCAAGUGCUGCUCCAAGGUCGCCUCCAUCCCACCCACCGACCACUCCGGCUCAGAACCCAGCGGCACGGCACGUCCUUCUCCACCACAGGCCUCAGUCACUUGACGCGAGCGGGGCGUGGACCGUAACGGCGCCUCCAAAGGGACAAAAUUGAUCACGGUGCAACGUCCGCGUUCUUUACUGGAAAACAUCACUGCGCUUCCGUCGCACAGAGCCUGACGAAGGCUUGGGCUCCCCGCGCGGUGACCGUCGAGGUGACCUGCACCUGGCUCCAUGGCGGAACCGGCCGGCACGGAUUAUUCCCCUCUCGGGAGAGGUCUGCAGCCGGGCCUCAGUGCUUCAGUUCGUGGCCUGGCAUUUUGUGAAGAGUGUCUUCAUCUCUGCAUCCCUAGUGCAACAGAGCAUGACAAAAAUUCAACAAAUAUUUAUUGAAGAGUCUUGAUGUCUUUUGGGAAAGGAACUCUAUGGUUACCUUUACUCUAAGUUAAAAACAACAACAACAACAACAAAAACACAAAACCCUGAGGCUCAGAAGAUAAAUAUUUGCUGAAGAUCACUGUGCUUAUUAGAUGGGUGUUACUGAUUCUUACCUCAGAGAAGAGAAUGUCAUGGAGACAAAAUGACCUGCUUAGAGUUCUGCACCCCCCAGCAUGGAGAGCAGAGCGCAAAGAUUUCUUCCGGACUCCCACAUUCCCCUUGGAAUCCAAGAACUGGUCUACUGUCACAACACUUUAGUACCCUCUUCUCCCAAGGAGGCAGCAGAAACUGGGGUAAUCACAACGGUCAA
This 853-nucleotide long non-coding RNA is filed under the name Homo sapiens (human). Its description in RNAcentral is "HSALNT0012413". The record is from RNAcentral. Lineage: Eukaryota; Metazoa; Chordata; Mammalia; Primates; Hominidae.